GUGGCGAGUGGCGAACGGGUGAGUAAUAUAUCGGAACAUGUCCGGAAGUGGGGGAUAACGUAGCGAAAGUUACGCUAAUACCGCAUAUGCCCUACGGGGGAAAGGGGGGGAUCGCAAGACCUCUCGCUUUCGGAGUGGCCGAUAUCAGAUUAGCUAGUUGGUGGGGUAAAGGCCUACCAAGGCGACGAUCUGUAGCUGGUCUGAGAGGACGACCAGCCACACUGGGACUGAGACACGGCCCAGACUCCUACGGGAGGCAGCAGUGGGGAAUUUUGGACAAUGGGGGAAACCCUGAUCCAGCCAUGCCGCGUGAGUGAAGAAGGCCUUCGGGUUGUAAAGCUCUUUCAGCCGGAAAGAAAUCGCACUGGUUAAUACCUUGUGUGGAUGACGGUACCGGAAGAAGAAGCACCGGCUAACUACGUGCCAGCAGCCGCGGUAAUACGUAGGGUGCGAGCGUUAAUCGGAAUUACUGGGCGUAAAGCGUGCGCAGGCGGUUUUGUAAGACAGACGUGAAAUCCCCGGGCUUAACCUGGGAACUGCGUUUGUGACUGCAAGGCUAGAGUAUGGCAGAGGGGGGUAGAAUUCCACGUGUAGCAGUGAAAUGCGUAGAUAUGUGGAGGAAUACCGAUGGCGAAGGCAGCCCCCUGGGUCCGACUCAACAUUGGGAC
This 668-nucleotide ribosomal RNA is filed under the name uncultured bacterium. Its description in RNAcentral is "bacterial SSU rRNA". It matches the Rfam family "Bacterial small subunit ribosomal RNA", at positions 88 to 752 of the family's 1533-position model. The record is from RNAcentral.